Molecule: ribosomal RNA, 253 nt
Filed under: uncultured bacterium
Lineage: Bacteria
Description: partial 16S ribosomal RNA
Rfam family: Bacterial small subunit ribosomal RNA
Source: RNAcentral
UACGUAGGGGGCAAGCGUUGUCCGGAUUUAUUGGGCGUAAAGAGCGUGUAGGCGGCCAUACAGGUCAGCUGUGAAAACUCGAGGCUCAACCUCGAGACGUCGGUUGAAACCGUAUGGCUAGAGUCCGGAAGAGGAGAGUGGAAUUCCCGGUGUAGCGGUGAAAUGCGCAGAUAUCAGGAAGAACGCCCGUGGCUAAGGCGGCUCUCUAGUACGGUACUGACGCUGAGACGCGAAAGCGUGGGGAGCGAACAGG